GACGAACCGUCCGAACGCUAUUCGGAAUCACUGGGCUUAAAAGGUGCGUCGGCGGCGCGGAAAGUUGGGUGUGAAAUCCCUCGGCUCAACCGAGGAACUGCGCCCAAAACUACCGUGCUCGAGGGAGAUAGAGGUGAGCGGAACUUAGGGUGGAGCGGUGAAAUGCGUUGAUAUCCUAAGGAACACCGGUGGCGAAAGCGGCUCACUGGAUCUCUUCUGACGCUGAGGUACGAAAGCUAGGUUAGCGAACGGG
Molecule: ribosomal RNA, 253 nt
Filed under: uncultured bacterium
Lineage: Bacteria
Description: partial 16S ribosomal RNA
Rfam family: Bacterial small subunit ribosomal RNA
Source: RNAcentral